RNAcentral lists this ribosomal RNA (506 nucleotides) under Salmonella enterica. RNAcentral describes it as "bacterial SSU rRNA". It matches the Rfam family "Bacterial small subunit ribosomal RNA", at positions 1 to 498 of the family's 1533-position model. Lineage: Bacteria; Pseudomonadati; Pseudomonadota; Gammaproteobacteria; Enterobacterales; Enterobacteriaceae. The record is from RNAcentral.
AAAUUGAAGAGUUUGAUCAUGGCUCAGAUUGAACGCUGGCGGCAGGCCUAACACAUGCAAGUCGAACGGUAGCACAGAGAGCUUGCUCUCGGGUGACGAGUGGCGGACGGGUGAGUAAUGUCUGGGAAACUGCCUGAUGGAGGGGGAUAACUACUGGAAACGGUGGCUAAUACCGCAUAACGUCGCAAGACCAAAGAGGGGGACCUUCGGGCCUCUUGCCAUCAGAUGUGCCCAGAUGGGAUUAGCUAGUUGGUGAGGUAACGGCUCACCAAGGCGACGAUCCCUAGCUGGUCUGAGAGGAUGACCAGCCACACUGGAACUGAGACACGGUCCAGACUCCUACGGGAGGCAGCAGUGGGGAAUAUUGCACAAUGGGCGCAAGCCUGAUGCAGCCAUGCCGCGUGUAUGAAGAAGGCCUUCGGGUUGUAAAGUACUUUCAGCGGGGAGGAAGGUGUUGUGGUUAAUAACCGCAGCAAUUGACGUUACCCGCAGAAGAAGCACCGGCU